This 660-nucleotide long non-coding RNA is filed under the name Brassica napus (rape). RNAcentral's name for it is "long non-coding RNA (BNAP_LNC023071)". Lineage: Eukaryota; Viridiplantae; Streptophyta; Magnoliopsida; Brassicales; Brassicaceae. The record is from RNAcentral.
GGGUUGAUGUUUUAGGGUUUAGAGUUCAUGGUUUAGGGUUUAGGGUUUAGAGUUGAUUUUUCGGGGUUUAGGGUUUACAGUUGAUGUUUCGGGGUUUUGGGUUUGACUUUCAAAAAAAUAUAGGGUUUAGGAUUGAUGGUUUAGGGUUUAGAGUUCGUAUUUCAAAAAAAAAAAAUAGCAUUUAGGACUGAUGGUUUAGGGUUUAGAGUUGAGUUUUUGGGUUUAGGGUUUGAAUUUCGAAAUAGCAUGAUUCGAAAAAAAAAUUAAAAAAAUAUAUUUUUAUUUUUUAGAUUUUUAUUUAUUUAAAUAUAUAUUUAUUAUAUAUAUAAAGAACAAGUGCAUAAGAGUCUUUUGGCACUUAAUGAAUAAGGUAUUUUUGAAAAUGUCAAUUUAGUGGUGGUAAAAAUGAAAAGUGAUAGCAAGAAAGUGUUAAACAUGUAAUUUCCUCUAACACAAAUUGUAUGCUGAAGGGAAAAAAGAAUGGGAAAAUUACAUGUUUACCACUUACAUGCUAGCACUUUUUUUUUUACCAACACUAAAGGGACAUUUUCAAAAACAGCUUCUUCUUUAAGUGCCAAAAGACUCUUAUGCCCUUGUUCUUUACAUAUAUAAUAAAUAAAUAAAAAUCUAAAAAAUAAUUUUUUUUUUUUUUUUGAAUUA